GGGGUACUCGAGCGGCGAACGGGUGAGUAACACGUGAGCAACCUGCCCUAGGCUUUGGGAUAACCCUCGGAAACGGGGGCUAAUACCGAAUAUUACUGCUGGACGCAUGUUUGGUGGUGGAAAGUUUUUCGGCCUGGGAUGGGCUCGCGGCCUAUCAGCUUGUUGGUGGGGUGAUGGCCUACCAAGGCGACGACGGGUAGCCGGCCUGAGAGGGCGACCGGCCACACUGGGACUGAGACACGGCCCAGACUCCUACGGGAGGCAGCAGUGGGGAAUAUUGCACAAUGGGCGGAAGCCUGAUGCAGCGACGCCGCGUGAGGGAUGACGGCCUUCGGGUUGUAAACCUCUUUCAGCAGGGACGAAGCGCAAGUGACGGUACCUGCAGAAGAAGCACCGGCCAACUACGUGCCAGCAGCCGCGGUAAGACGUAGGGUGCGAGCGUUGUCCGGAUUUAUUGGGCGUAAAGAGCUCGUAGGCGGCUUGUCGCGUCGACCGUGAAAACUUGGGGCUCAACCCCAAGCCUGCGGUCGAUACGGGCAGGCUAGAGUUCGGUAGGGGAGACUGGAAUUCCUGGUGUAGCGGUGAAAUGCGCAGAUAUCAG
This 601-nucleotide ribosomal RNA is filed under the name Micromonospora sp. I08A-00418. RNAcentral's name for it is "bacterial SSU rRNA". It matches the Rfam family "Bacterial small subunit ribosomal RNA", at positions 84 to 700 of the family's 1533-position model. Lineage: Bacteria; Bacillati; Actinomycetota; Actinomycetes; Micromonosporales; Micromonosporaceae. The record is from RNAcentral.